GUGGGCAUGGUGGGGGUGGGCUGGGGUUGGACUUGAGGAUCUUGGAGGUCUUUUCCAGUCUUAAUGAUUCUGUGAUUCUAUUGUUCAGUGCUCUUAUGGGAGUUCAAGACAGACAGCAUAGCUUGGUGGUACAAGACACUCCCAAUGCACAAGCUUUAGAGAGCAAACAAUGCUGGUGCUUGCCCCCCUAGCGGCGAUGCUCAAUUCAGGCAUUACCCUUGAUGAGACACCUUGGUGCUCUUGGCUCAUUGCACAGUAUGGUGACAAAGGGCAUGGCCCCUUAUGGCACAUAAAGAUUACCAAGAAGACCACGUUGCGAAGCCUGAAUGGAAAGCAGAGUAUCUAAAGCAGAAGCUGGGGGCUGAAAGGCACACAGAAAUCCAGGUCUGAGGCUUUGGCUUAAAACUGCAUUUUCAAGGGGAGAAAAUGAAAACGUGCAUGUUGUUUGUUAUCCUUGGCAAAAAUCAUGGUAGUCUGCAAGAGGAGGCAGAUCAGACCCUUAGAUGUGUGUUGAGUGUGUGAUAGGUUAUUGUUAUGGAGAAGCUCCACAUCUGAGAGCUGAGAAUAUCUCACUUUUAAAUGAGAGGGUGAACCUUGACAACGAGUGCAAUAUUGCUUUACCGAGAAACCUCUCACAAAAGAGCUCUAUUUUCUGACAGCCAACAUGCUAAAUUAAACAGCUUCCACGUGUGUCAAUAAAAGGAAUUGGCUUCAUUAUUUGCAGUCCCCCAGUGAUAAUUUCUAGUCUCCUUUGGUAAAUGUCAUUAUGCUUCCAGAAGGCCAUCUGCACAUGGGCAAAUGGGUUGGUGAGUGCUCCCUGCUGGGGAAUGGAGCACAGUGGGGCUGGAGAUGCGGGGGCAGGAGGUUGGGCAGUGUCUGGGGGACCCCUGUGGUGUCAGGAGGCAUGGAGGGCCCAUUGGGCAGCACAGGGUACUGACUGAAACCAGACUGUGUGGCAAUAUGACCUGGUCCAAAGCCCAUUGCAGGAAAUGGGGGGAGGCUCUGGGCUCCUGGUUCCAGUUCUCAAUCUUGCUCACUUUCCCAACCCAUUUCCAGGCCCUUUCCUCACUCUGUCCACAGCUUCCUCAACCCUGCACGUAGCUCUUCCCUUUUCUUUUCCACCAAGGUGAAGGUGAUCAAUGAAAAACUCUGGAAGCCACUCAGUGCAGGAGGGAAACGGGUACAAAUAUGUUGGGACCUUGCUGUAAUUCCAAGCCAAGCUCCCAGAUGCAUCCUCUUGAGGAAACCAAACCCAUCAGCUGCAGCAUGGGGCUCUGCUGGUGGAGCUGGGAAACCUGCAGCCCUGCUGAAUACUAGCAGCCAUGCAGACCAUGAAUGGAGGGAUGCGCUUGACUUACCCACUUACCUGCUCACGACGCCAUCUGCAGCAUUGUGCAGUAUCUCAUGGACAAAAGGUGCUAGGCAGGAGAGGGAGAAGGUAUGAUUUUGGCCCAGGAUGGUUGGAAAGCUUUUUUCCACAUAUUAUGAACGCGUAUUGUGUCAAACAGACGCUUGCUCCUGUUUGAAACAGCCCUGUAGUCAGUAAAUCAACUGGAUAGAGAGCAAGGAAAAAAAGAAUGUUGUUCAUUUUCCAAAAGGACAAACACUGAUUUAGAAACGUUAAUUGCAGGGCAGUUGGUUGGAGUUGCUGACUAACAGCAGAACUGUUGCUAGCCCAGAGCUGCCUGAUGCUCACAGCACAAGGAGAGGCACUGGACAAGUGGUGGGACCAUCUCUGACCCUGCUUUCUCCCCUGGCCCAGGCCUGCUUCCCAAUUCCCCCUCUGCAACUAACAGCAAAAGCAGGCGCAGCAGUUUCUGUAGCAAAGCUGUCUCUGCACUGAAAAAUGACCAGUUAAUUCUGCUUUCCACUAAAUGCCAGACUGCUUUUCAUUCACUCCGGCACUGCAGCUUUUCUUAGUUUAUUAUUUAUGUCUCCUCUCAGAGUUUCCCACCUGCACCACCUCUAUCAAUGGGCAUGAAAUACAAAUCAAUAGCAGCUGUGGGUCCAGCAGCGCUGUUGUCAGAGCCUGGCGAGGAACUGGAGGGUGAUGCUGCUGUGAAAACAGGACUGCUUUGUGCAUGCCUGGAGGUGAACCUCAGCUUCCUCAACUCAGCGUGGAGCAAGUGAGCUCUCCCUGUUGGCAUCCUUUGUAUUGAUCCCCUGUGGCACAGGAGGGCUGGACAUGGAGGUAGGUGAAUUCGAUGUGCUAAAUCCAUCCCUGGUUGGACAACAGCAAAACAAGAGCAAAUUUUGACAGUAAAACUCCAGCUACAGCCCACAGUGCCAUUACAUAUUUUCCUGUCCUACUUUACCAUCCGGUGAAGACUUGCUUGGAAAAGUGGAUAUAAUCAGUGAAAUGAGAGAGUCUAAAAAGGUAUUUACCCUAUGGAAAUCAGGAUGACUUCUCUAAAUAGCACUUCUUGCACCCACUGAAGAAGUGC
Molecule: long non-coding RNA, 2444 nt
Organism: Gallus gallus (chicken)
Lineage: Eukaryota; Metazoa; Chordata; Aves; Galliformes; Phasianidae
Source: Ensembl